RNAcentral lists this microRNA precursor (59 nucleotides) under Branchiostoma floridae (Florida lancelet). RNAcentral describes it as "Bfl-Mir-193-P1j_pre stem-loop". Lineage: Eukaryota; Metazoa; Chordata; Leptocardii; Amphioxiformes; Branchiostomatidae. The record is from RNAcentral.
CGGGACCUCGUGGGCCAGACGGUUAUGUAACAGACCCUACUGGCCCGCUAAGUCCUGAU